This 65-nucleotide transfer RNA is filed under the name uncultured Nitzschia. It matches the Rfam family "tRNA", at positions 5 to 66 of the family's 71-position model. From Rfam's summary of the family: Transfer RNA (tRNA) molecules are approximately 80 nucleotides in length. Lineage: Eukaryota; Bacillariophyta; Bacillariophyceae; Bacillariales; Bacillariaceae. The record is from RNAcentral.
AGUAUGGUGCAAUGGUAAGCACGCUGGUCUCAUGUGCCAGAGAUACAAGGUUCAAUUCCUGUUGC